This 2958-nucleotide long non-coding RNA is filed under the name Xyrichtys novacula (pearly razorfish). The record is from RNAcentral. Lineage: Eukaryota; Metazoa; Chordata; Actinopteri; Labriformes; Labridae.
GUACUCUUGCACUCAAACAGAACGCGGAACUCAUCACCAAUCUGGCCAUCUUUGCAAAGGUCACAUAACCUCAUGCCCUUUAUACCUUCCAGUGACUGUUGGUAUUCUUGUAUUGUUUACACUGAAGUGGCAGAUGGCCAGUCUAUACUUUUGGUUUGGACACAAUAAAUACUUUUCUAAUUUAAAUUCUUGUUUAAACUCAGUGUAGAUGUCACAUGAUGUCAUACUGCCAAGUUCACUUCUCCAUGUCUGCAGAAACUGAUCUUUCAGUCUGUGUUCAAUAGUCAGCUUCAGCCAGUCAGAGCUAAUACACUUUUGAGAGAGCCAGAGAUAAAACAACCCACAACCAUCCAAUAUCUGCUUAACCUGCAGAAUCCAUGGUGACACAAAUACACCUGAGUUACACAAACCAAGUAAGCAGUUAUACACUAAUGUAUUCAAUUUAUUUUCUUUACCUUCUAUCAAAUGAUCCCAGUAACCAACAAUUAUUUUUUUUUAACUGCAACAACCCUUGUAAUUCAUAUUCAUAGUGAUUCUGAGGUAUUCAAAACAAUGGACAACUCCUGAUUUUUCUCCAGUACAGGUGAACUAAAGUUUGCUGAUGUCAGCUUUUCUGUGGCCGAAGACUGUAACUUUAGUCUUUUCACUACUGAUCUUUAAUUUCCAUCAGUUAAUAGGCUUGCAGCUAUCGCCUUUUAGAUGGUUCUCCAGGUCAUUAAUAAACAGUGCAAACAGCAAUGGUGAUAGGUUUUCCUCUUGCCUAAAACCUGCUAAACUUACAAAGAACUCUGAUUUCAUCCCAUUCACUUAAACCCCUUAUUGGCCUCCCAAAAGGACUCAAACUAAAGCUUUUUUCUUAACUUCAUUUUUGUGUCUUACAGAGAUUGUUCUCCAUUUCUAAAGCUGUUGAAGAGCUAUUUGAUGAUGAGGACAUCCAUGUCCAAACAGCCUUUGAUGCAAGUAUGUGAGCAUGAGUGAGAUUCAGUCAGAUCACAGUAUUUCCUUUCAAAGAACUGCCUGCAGCAUUGAGCCAUGCAGGGUUAAGUAAUGAAGCAUGCCGCUUUUCUACCUACAGUAAAUCCUGUUUUAGCUUUAAUUCCUGUUACUUGUGUAGACAUGGACAAAAAGCAUUUAACCUAUGAAGUUCAAGUGAUGAGCUAUCUGUUAAAUACCUAUUAUUUCCACUGCACAAACCUCAAUAAAGAGGAAACUGGCUGGAGGACAGAUCAUCAAAGUGCUAAAAGUGUUCAUUGACAAAGUAUUUUUUACCUUGCUUUCAAAAUGGACACCAUGGUGCAUUAAUAAUAUACAUAUUUGAAGUUAUUUAUGAGCACUACUGACAAAACUCUCUUUUGCUACCAUAGUUUAAAAAACAAAGAGCAGAAGUAGCUGUGAGGGUAGUGUUUGCUAUAUGAGAUCUCAUAAUGAUGCCCUCUAGAAAGCAUCAAGAGGACAAACAGACAUUACAGUUAUAAAAGUACAGAAAGAGUCUUUCUAAAUUGGGGCCACUUGGGAAAUUUUGUUCAACUAAAAAGUUAUGUGAGAAGAAGCACAUCAUCUUGAUAUUCCUCUGGAGUUCAUUAGGCUCUAAUCCACAAAUACACUGACCUCUACAGAGCUGUCUUGUGGCAUUUCUGCAUCGACAGGACUCACUGAAGGCAUCGCCCUGGACUACAAAUAUCCUACUGUAACAAGACACUCACAGAAAACACUCACAGGAACCAAAAUGAAGUCUGUGUUCAUCAACAUCUACAAAUUACUCAAGUUUAAAGUCAAAGUCUUCAUCUGAGCUCUUUUACAAAAUGAACAUCAUGUUGUAGAAAACUUAAAAAGUAGUAUUCAAGCCCAUAAACUCUCUGGAAGAGGGUUUUCUGAGGACAAAAAACAGCUGCAGGGGCUUUUUCUCUUGAUCUUCAUCUGUGCUCUUUUUGCAAUAUCAUGAGUUCCCCUUUAAGUUCAAAGCUCUUUAUUAUCAUUUGCUUCUUUGAAAACAGGCGGCUAUUUCUUUUGCUUUCAUAUAUCAUAUGCCUAAUUCAACAUGGAUGGCGAAUCUUGAACUUUAAAAAGUUAAAGGCUUCAUUGUGCAGUAAAUACUCAGUAAAAUCUGUAAACAAGCAAAAGCAAAGAAGGUCUAUAAAGAGGACAGAAAGGUCCAGGAGGGUCUGUGUUUUUUCAACAUGUGCUAGGGUGUGGAUUUUCUUUUCUGUCUAGUCUACGCUUUUCCCUCUUUAGGCUUUUCAUCAGUCAUUUUGUGUUACCCCGUCUCUUUUUCUUCUUCUCCCUCUCUGACUCUGAAGCAAAUUGAGUCUGAAUGAGCUCCAAAUCAUGUUCAAGUGCAGCCACAGACACUUCCAACUCUCUCAGACAGUCACUCAGCCUGGUAAACUAUUAUCAGCUCACACACAUACACACACACAUACAUAAACAGAUGCAGACUGCUCUGUCUGGCAGUCUACCAAGAGCCUUUGGCACUUGCGCUGCUGUACCAUCAUUAUCCUGUGAUGAAUAAUCUCUCUAUCGUUCUCUUUUACAGGACAGAGCCAAGGAGCUGCAGAGAGAGAGAGAGUCAGAGUGAUCAGAGACUGACACGUAGCGUGUCGUAAUGUCAGGCUGCAGCCCCAAAGAGUUUCUUCAAGAGCGUCUCAAUGACUCCUAGUGGCAACUUUGAACUGAGGACUCUAAGGGAAACUGGAUCUCAUCAAACAGUACUGAGCAGGGGGACAGGUUCGCAGGCAAGUCAAGAAUUAGGCAAAAUACCUUAAUCCACUCCAAUAUAAAACCAAUAUCUUGCUGCCUCUUGGUAUAUUUGAGACUCUUAUAUUAGCUUCAAGUAUUCUGAAUUAUCUCACUUUGCAGUUGCCUAAAGAGACUGAACAGUCGCUGGUCUGUUCUGUUGAAAAGCAGGAAAGGGGAAAAAACACAUCAAUUUCUCAAACCUCAUUUUCUCCUUAAUACAUG